UGCAUGGAAUAAUGGAACAAGGUUUCGGCUGAGUUUUAUUGGUUUUGUCGGCAGAGACAAUGGUUAACAGGAACAGCUGGGGGCACUCGUAUCCCGGCGCGAGAGGUGAAAUUCGUGGACCGUCGGGAGACGCCCUAAAGCGAAGGCAUUUGCCAAGAGUGUUUUCAUUAAUCAAGAACGAAAGUCAGAGGUUCGAAGGCGAUUAGAUACCGCCCUAGUUCUGACCGUAAACGAUGCCAACUAUCAAUCUGCCAGCAGCUUCCAGUUGUUGGCAGGCGGAUCGACGGAAACGAAAGUUUUUCGGUUCCGGGGGAAGUAUGGUUGCAAAGCUGAAACUUAAAGGAAUUGACGGAAGGGCACCACCAGGAGUGGAGCUUGCGGCUUAAUUUGACUCAACACGGGAAACCUCACCCGGCCAGUACAUCAUAAGGAUUGACAGAUUGAAAGCUCUUUCAUGAUUUGAUGAAUGGUGGUGCAUGGCCGUUCUUAGUUCGUGGCGUGAGUCGUCUGCUUAAUUGCGAUAACGAGCGAGACUCCGAUUGUUAAAUAGCUGGCAGUUUACUUCGACUGUACAGCUUCUUAACGAGAUUCGCGUCUUCAAGGCGCAAGAAAUGGAGCAAUAACAGGUCUGUGAUGCCCUUAGAUGUUCGGGGCCGCACGCGUGCUACAAUGAUGGUAACAGCGUGAUUGUCCUCGCCCGAGAGGGCUUGGCAAACAGUUGAGAUAUUAUUAUGGCUGGAAUUGAGUGUUGAAAUUUCUCUCAUG
RNAcentral lists this ribosomal RNA (765 nucleotides) under Aphelenchoides bicaudatus. RNAcentral's name for it is "SSU rRNA". It matches the Rfam family "Eukaryotic small subunit ribosomal RNA", at positions 806 to 1601 of the family's 1831-position model. Lineage: Eukaryota; Metazoa; Nematoda; Chromadorea; Rhabditida; Aphelenchoididae. The record is from RNAcentral.